This 231-nucleotide long non-coding RNA is filed under the name Homo sapiens (human). RNAcentral's name for it is "non-protein coding lnc-SEH1L-1:1". Lineage: Eukaryota; Metazoa; Chordata; Mammalia; Primates; Hominidae. The record is from RNAcentral.
AUUGCAGCACUCUGUGGGACCAAGAGGGAAUGGAUGCUGUUAAGGAUGUCAUGACCGGCUGUUGAUGCCCAGAAGUCUGGUUGUUCAAGGCACUAUCUGAGACUGAAGAAACACAGACUUUCCCAUCGGUUCCCUGAAACUCCCCCUCCCUUUUGUCUAGCUGCACAAAAACUCCCUGCUUCACCUUUUUGUUAAGACAGAUUUGAGAGAUCUUGCCCUCCUGCCCUCUUG